ACUCAAAUGAAUUGACGGGGACUCGCACAAGCAGUGGAACAUGAGGUUUAAUUCGACGAUGAACGAAGAACCUCACCCGGGCUUGAAAUUCUAGUAGCAAGCCGCUGGAAACAGUGGCCCUCCGCAAGGACUGCUAGGACAGGUGCUGCAUGGUUGUCGUCAGCUCGUGCCGUGAGGCGUUCCCUUAAUUGGGGUAACGAGCGCAACCCCUGCUCCGUGUUACAAGUGUCACGGAGGACUGCCCAGCCUAAAGAUCGGAAACGGAAACGUUUAUGAUUUUCAGGCUGGGAGGAAGGAGGGGAUGACGUCAAAUCAGCAUGGCCCUCUGAUGCCCGGGGCUACACUCAUGUUACAAUGGCGCGGACAAUGGGCUGCCAACCCGCAAGGGGGAGCUAAUCCCGUAAACCGCGUCUUAGUUCGGAUUGGGGGCUGCAACUCGCCCCCAUGAAGCUGGAAUUGCUAGUAAUCGUGGGUCAGCUAUACCACGGUGAAUACGUUCUCGAGUCCUGUACACACCGCCCGU
This 523-nucleotide ribosomal RNA is filed under the name uncultured bacterium. RNAcentral describes it as "partial 16S ribosomal RNA". It matches the Rfam family "Bacterial small subunit ribosomal RNA", at positions 899 to 1397 of the family's 1533-position model. The record is from RNAcentral.